RNAcentral lists this transfer RNA (94 nucleotides) under Richelia sp. RM2_1_2. RNAcentral's name for it is "tRNA-Ile". It matches the Rfam family "tRNA". Rfam says of the family: Transfer RNA (tRNA) molecules are approximately 80 nucleotides in length. Their secondary structure includes four short double-helical elements and three loops (D, anti-codon, and T loops). The record is from RNAcentral. Lineage: Bacteria; Bacillati; Cyanobacteriota; Cyanophyceae; Nostocales; Nostocaceae.
GCCCGAGUAGCUCAAUUGGUAGAGCGGUACGCUUAUAACGUAUGAUCUGUAGAUGACAGAACGGCUGGGGGUUCGAGUCCCUCCUCGGGUACCA